Molecule: ribosomal RNA, 300 nt
Filed under: uncultured Pyrobaculum sp.
Lineage: Archaea; Thermoproteati; Thermoproteota; Thermoprotei; Thermoproteales; Thermoproteaceae
Description: bacterial SSU rRNA
Rfam family: Bacterial small subunit ribosomal RNA
Source: RNAcentral
GGUAACUGCGUGGAGGACGCGGGGGUAAUGCGGGGGUGGCAAGUGGUGGGCGGAAAUACUGGGCGUAAAGCGUGCGGAGGCGGCGUAUUAAGUCUGGUGUGAAAGCCCGGGGCGUAACCCAGGAAGUGCACUGGAAACUGGGAGACUGGAGUAGCGGAGAGGAGGGUGGAAUUCCUGGUGUAGCGGUGAAAUGCGUAGAUAUCUGGAGGAACACCGGUGGCGAAGGCGGCCCUCUGGACGGAUACUGACGCUGAGACGCGAAAGCGUGGGGAGCAAACAGGAUUAGAUACCCCAGUAGUC